RNAcentral lists this ribosomal RNA (253 nucleotides) under uncultured bacterium. RNAcentral's name for it is "partial 16S ribosomal RNA". It matches the Rfam family "Bacterial small subunit ribosomal RNA", at positions 524 to 776 of the family's 1533-position model. The record is from RNAcentral.
UACGAAGGGUGCAAGCGUUACUCGGAAUUACUGGGCGUAAAGCGUGCGUAGGUGGUGAGUUAAGUCUGAUGUGAAAUCCCCGGGCUCAACCUGGGAAUGGCAUUGGAUACUGGCUCGCUAGAGUGCGGUAGAGGGUGGUGGAAUUCCCGGUGUAGCAGUGAAAUGCGUAGAGAUCGGGAGGAACAUCGGUGGCGAAGGCGGUUCUCUGGGCCUGUACUGACGCUGAGGAGCGAAAGCGUGGGGAGCGAACAGG